RNAcentral lists this long non-coding RNA (608 nucleotides) under Phoenix dactylifera (date palm). RNAcentral's name for it is "long non-coding RNA (PDAC_LNC020728)". The record is from RNAcentral. Lineage: Eukaryota; Viridiplantae; Streptophyta; Magnoliopsida; Arecales; Arecaceae.
GUGGAGUGAUUGAUUGAAACCCUAUUUGAUUUUGAUGAGCUCAAAGCAUUUGAGUAUAUCUUAUGUUUUACUAAUGAAUUCAAUUGAGUGUUUCAGUGAAAAUCUUGUCUAAGUGUCUCUAGAUUUGGUUCAAGAUAGUUUGGAUAAGUUAAGAAGUCAGUUUGAACCAAAAUCUGAGACUCGAGUCGACUCCGGGAUAUUACGAGUCGACUCCAAGCGUAUCAGAAUCACUGGCACGGGUUCGAGUCGACUCCGGACCAUUACGAGUCGACUCCGACUGAGAACAGACAGACGAACAGAAAGCAUCAACUCAAAACCUGUCAGCGAGUCGACUCCUGAAGUGCGCGAGUCGACUCCGAUGUUUACCGAGUCGACUCCGGAGUAGUAUGAGUCGACUCCAAGGAGUUACAGACAGAAAAGUCAGAGAGCGAAUUUCGACCCUGAGAUUCGAGUCGACUCCUGUGGAACGCGAGUCGACUCCGAUGGUUGGCAGGUCGACUCCAAAGAAAGUGAGAGUCGACUCUCAGUGGAACUCAAGGCAAAAGUCAGAGAACCGUUUUCGGACUCUGAGAUUCGAGUCGACUCCCGCAAUACGCGAGUCGACUCCG